Molecule: long non-coding RNA, 10466 nt
Organism: Ictalurus punctatus (channel catfish)
Lineage: Eukaryota; Metazoa; Chordata; Actinopteri; Siluriformes; Ictaluridae
Exons: 5
Source: RefSeq, a predicted model, not a curated record
CUAGCAAAAGACAGACACACCAAUGAACACAUCUUAUAUAUUGCAUUAAUCAGCUGUCUGGUCUUCCCGAAAGUCCUUCACUGUUCUGCUGGUGUAGCACACAGGGGUCCAAUGAGAGCUCCACUGGAAGAGGUGACCUUUUUGGCGGAAUAAGAUAGAGAGAGAAGAGGAGAGGGGAAUCAGGGAGAAUGGGGGACAAGGACAAAGAGCAGAGGAAUGCAUUUCCCAUAGCCUAGCUGACCUCUCAAGAGGACUGACUCUGAAUAAUUACAGUCCUGCUCACCUGCUUCCAGAAGGGGCAUGAGCAGACUAGGGAUGUCAGGAGAACCGAUACUUCGGUACCAAUUCGGUACCAACAUUCUUAAAACGUGACGGUACUUGUUUUUCUGCACUAACGUUGGAACCGAUUCUAAUAGAGGUACCAAGAUUACAAUUCUUCCGGACCUGAUCCGGUCAGCAAAUACGCGCAAGUGUUUUCGUCGGUCCACAAGUGGCAAAGAAGAAGAAGAACGCCCACAAGCACACGGGUCGCAAGGAAGCCUGGAGUCUACCCCUGGGAACACGCAGGGCACAUGCACACCCCCAUUCACACACUAUAGACAAUUUGGAAAUGUCAAACAGCUUACCCCCAUGUCUGGGGGAGGAAAGUGGACUACCCGGAGAAACCCCCCCAAAGCAUGGGGCCCAUCCAGAUAAUUUUCAGAGAAGUGAAGAAACAACAUUAAGAGGUGGUUGGGUUUUUGGGAGCAUCAAAGGAGAAAUAAGGAGGACUGCACUUAGCAUGGAUGGUCGCGGGGGAACCUGGGGCCUAUCCCAGGGAGCAUCAGGCACAAGGCGGGGUACACGCUGGACAGGGUGUCAGUCCAUCGCAGGGCACACAAUCACACACACACUAUGGACUAUUUAGACACGCCAAUCAGCCUACCAUCACUCACUUUACCCAGGUCAGGGUUAUGGUGAAUCCAAAGCCUAUUGUCGGAACACUGGGCAUGAGGUGGGAAGACUGGAUGGGAUGCUGGUCAUUCACACUGAGGGGUAAUUAAUCAUAAACAAUUCAACUAUUGGCAUUGAGAGGUGGGAGGAACCCAGAGGAACCCAGAGGAAACCAUGAGAACAUGAGGAGAACAUGUGAAACUGACAGUAACCUGAGCUCAGAACCAAACUGGGGACCCUGGAGCUGUGAGUCUGUGAAUGUUCCUAGUAUACUUAUUUGUAUAUAACCUGAUUUAAAUUCCCUUUUUAACAUGUUUAAUUUAAUUUAACAAUAUAAUUUAAAAUACUUUGAAAUCUGGAUCUUACACUCUCUUUUUUGAGCUGUAAGCUAUCUAUAGAUAUAAUUUAUGCACUUAUAUCACUUACAGAACCUACAGUAAAUGUCAUAUGAAUCAUAUUUCACCAUAUGAAUUCCACGUUCAAUGUGUAAACAUAAUACACUGCCCAUGAGAACAUACUGGUUUCUUGCACCUAUUUAUACAUUUCAUUACCAGAAGAGCUCACUGGGUUUAUCCCUAAUGGUUCUUCUCUUCUUUGCCCCUCUUAAGUGGAACAUCAAUAAAACUGGCCAGAGCUCUGGCUGCCUUCUGCCAUAUUUAGAAGUACAAUCCAUCCCACAAGUGUGUCCUCAGAGUUCCUCAAAGAUACUGAGAAGAGACACUGUGUAUCCAUGAGCUAUUUCACAGGCCAAAAACAACCUUCCCAUGGUAACAGCUGGUCUCUGCAGUGGCUGACCACAAUAACAGAGUGAACAGACACUGAGGGGAUUGGGGUGGUGUGUGUGUGUGUGUGUGUGUGUGUGUGUGUGUGUGUGUGUGUGUGUGUGUGUGUGUGUGUUUCUGAGUGUUGUGAAAGUCAAAAACCAUGGAUGGAUUACACAAAGAACCAGGCCUAGAGGUUUUUCCAUGCCCAGGACAUGGUGGGUGAUUAAGCUUAAGAGUGCAAGAUGAGCACAAGGACUCUGCUUUCACUGCAAUGCCAAGCAGGAGAGGGGAUUUCAUUCUAGACCCAAGCAGUUAAAAACAUUGGGACAGGAUGUCAUUAAGGAGUAAACGCAUGCAGACACAGACACACACACACAAUGUGUUGAAGGUCAGAGCAGUGAACAAGUAAUGAGGUUCGAGAGUUCAAAUUAGGUCUAAACCAUUGCAAAUGUUAUGGGAUAAAAUAGCCGGUGAUUAUGUUACUGGCUCACUAACUACAAAUGAUGAACAAAUGAUCUCAGCAAAGUAUUAGGUCAUCUGGUAAAGGCAAAGAAAACAUCAUUAUUGUGCACGCGUAACCGCAAGCCCAACUAUUUGUGCCUGGAUCCAACCCGCAUCUCCAAUCUCUGCACCAUAAUGAAACGUGAUCUAAUACCGUAAGCAUACUCUCAUUUCCAUAGUCAAUAUCCAAUGCUAAAUUAUCUGCUGGGUCCAAGGAACGUUUUAGCUGCCCAUUACAAAACACUAAUUCAUUCAUUACUGAUUUUCCCAGAACUUACAGCCCUGUCAGUGGGAUUACAGGUGCAUGUGCUGGCAGAGCGCCCUAGACUGCCCGGCUUUGGAAAUAAAACAAGCUCUCCCUGGCCACACGUUGACUUUUAUUACAGACUCCCUCCUGCUCCCAGUGUGAGCCAGGCCUGUUUGUUUUUCCUCCCCAUCUGUAAUUAAGUCAGAGCCACAUACUCUCUCACUAAGAAAGAGAUAAGUUGAAGACUAGACGCUUUAGUGCAGCCGGAUUGAGGAACUCACUAAUACCACUCAAGGGGUUCGAUUCAAGUGGACCGGCCUUUCCAAGGUCUUAACUCUAAACAAAACAGUCUAUUAUGGAACGGUUCUAAAAAUGUCAAUUGACUAAAUGGAAACCGAAGUACGCAAUGGCAGGAUGAGAGUCUCACUGAUGUAAUGCAAACUUUUCAUUUUUCCACACUUAAGCUGUAUUUGAGCUGUUCCCAGAGGAGCCAUUUCCACGUUAGCCAUUUCAGCGCUGUGGUGUGUGGCCAAAUGCUGACCCGUCUCUGUUCUGACUGCUGACCCCCCAGGCAUGUUUGUUUCCAGAGAUCCUUUUGCCUGAGCCAUUCAUCUGCAGUUCAGUGUACAUUUUUAUUCCACACUCAACUGGCUAUUCACUGUCGAUAACAAAUGGUAACCUGUAAUGGAAGGAAUCCAGUAUACACUGGAUUGAAAGUAUGAUUUUCAGUAUUAACAGGAAACACAAGAUCAUAAACCACUGACCUCAGUGAAGAUAUGUAAUUGCUCGCUGGGUGAAGAGAUAUCAGACAUGUUGGAGUAGGGAAAUGUACUGAGAAGCAGUGAGUAACAGCUGUCAUUCCUAACUGAAGUGUUUAUAGUGUGGUAGCUAACAGGCUAUGGGGGAGCGCAACAUGACCACUUCAUAGGCAGAGGUGAGGAUUUAACCAAGCAUAUGCCUGAAUACCUCAAAAGGUCUCCAAGCUGGCCAUUGGAGUCAUGUUUCAGCCAAAAUGAAGAGUAACAGCAUGAACAUGCCCUAAUCAUCUCAUCCAUAGUGCUGAUCUUACUGGAGUUUACCAAUGUGGAAAAUGAAUAAUCACUCAUAUAGCAGUUUGCAAUUUAUAAUACUCUGAUGUUAUAAGGUUUUAUUUAACAAUUCUGUGAUUUUAAGAUAUUGAGCCUCAAUAAAGUCAAAGCAGAUAUAACUAUUCGACUAGAAAUGAACUCAGUGUAGACGAUAUCUUUUACAUAUAUUGAUUUUAUUAUUAGUGAAUCCUGCAGAAAUAUCUUAAAUGUAAACUGACUUAAACUGUUUAGGUCUGCAAUAUUUUCAAUGAUGGCCAGCAUCAGCCAUCGCAAACAAACACAAAUUAUUCACAACAUCUCUUCUAAUUAUUAUUAUUUUUAUUAUUUCACGCUAUGUGCAUUUACUCAUAAAAACAUCAUUCUGGCAGCCAUCUUACAAUUAGGUUCAGAAGACUUUGAUAUUCUUCACAUAUGGCUCCAUUAGCGGGUGUAAACACCCUCAUAAAGCAUGAGAUCAGACACUGGUGUUCACAACAACCUCUUUAGCUGAAACAGCUUUUCCAGCGAUGUAGCAGGUACAGCAGAGGAGGUGGAGGGAGAGGGGAUGAGGAAGAGGUAGAGAGAGGGAUGUGGUGUUGUCUGUCUCCAUGGAGUGGAGCUAUAAUUCCUCUGGCAUGAGCCCUCAGAACCUCUGCACACAGGAGACACUAUGUAAACACGCAAUGUAAACAGACACAUGGCAAACAUAUGCACUUAUAUCCUAACAAGUACCUAAGAAACUCAAUGUAGAUGACAAACCUGUAUUUCUUUGAAAUGUAUUGUUAUGAGCUCCAGGCAAAUGUCAUCACAUGUAUUCUCAUAUAAAUGAUCAUUCUUAUGUAUUCCUUUCAUUACAGGGACAUUUGGUUCUCAGAAUGGUCUAAACAUGCACACCAGUGACAUAAUUAUUAAUGCAGUUAAUUAAUGCUAUGUCUACACCUAUAAAGAGCUCUAAACUUAAUCCCAGUAACCAGAAGGAAACUGUUCCACAAGAAAAACCUUUAGAAAAAAACAGCUUUCCUCAUGGGAACCAAUCAAAUGUCCGUACAAGAUGAAUACUGUCAGAUUUUCCUAUCUUUGUGGGGACAUAUAUGGACACAGUUUUGAGAAUGUUUCCCUCACCUUGUUUGCUGCUUUUCUUCUUGCUGUGACAAAGAAAAAAAAAAAUCACAUUUUCAUACUGCACUGUCAUUAGGUACUACAAUUAUAUUAGCAUAAAAACUUCUCAUUUACUAUCUUAUUCUAAUCGAACAGUAUAAUCUGUUUUUCCCCUAUUAAUACAAUAUUUUGAAUCACCAAUGAUUGACAAAUUUCAGAAAUGGCCUAUGAUAGGGGUUCUCAAUAAAUAUUUUACCAGUCACAGACCCAUUUAACUAUAAAAUAAAUAAAUAAAUAAGUAUAUAUAAUAAGAAGUUGUUCAUGGAUCCCCAUUAAUAUGGAUUUAUUUCACAAACUAUUAAAAACAUUAAGCACAGGGGUGGAGACGAACUUAAGCACCUUAAGAAGUGAAUCCAAAGUGACUAUUGGAUUCACAUGCUCAAGGUCCUAUCCAGUUCUCAAUGAUGACACUAACUUUUCUCCUUUCUUGUAGGCUCUUUCAGGGGUUCCAUUUGGGUUUAUAUGCAUUAGUUAAUGCAUUAUUAUUAGUUAUUUACUGUAUAUAUUUUAUGUAUGUAUAUGCAGCGCAUUCAGCUUGUACAUGUACAUAAUGUUUAUUGUAUAUACAUAUAUAUGUAUAUAUAUAUAUAUAUAUAUAUAUAUAUAUAUAUAUAUAUAUAUAUAUAUAUAAAUUCCAUGUAGCCUCUUUAUUUUUACUUCUUUUUUUUCAAUCUAGCCUUAACUUAUAUUGUCUGUCUGUAUAAUUGUUACAUAAAUAAUCAAAAGACCUAGAAAUAUUGGAUCUAUUCACUUCUUGCAUGUUCUUGUAUGAGUUGGGUUUCCUACCAUUUUUAAGAUGCAAAUUUUUUGGAGAGCCCCUAGUGGCCACUAGAUUACUUGUCAUGACUUUGACAGAGGUGAUUUCAUGCUUUUACCAUUGUUUGACACCCAUAAGAAGGCUAGCUGAAGCCGAUACGCCUUGGUGUAUCGGGUGACUGCUUUCAGCCCUCAAAAUAAAGGCUUUUUUUUUUUUUUUUUACUGCAAAUAGUCCACAUGAGCACCUGGUUUUGGAAUCUUUGCUUUGACAAAAGUGGCAUGGGCAAAUUUUCCUUGCCAGUGCACCUGUGGCUUUUAUUUACUAGAUGUGCUCUUUGCACUACAUUAUUUGACAUUAAGCAAAUUAUUUCAGUUUGUACAAAUAAUAUUUAUUGGCACUAGAUAGUUCCCAGUUAUUAAAAUUAUCAUUAGAUUCCAUUUGGCAUUCUAUACAGCCAUAAUGUUUUUGAUAAAGAUGGGUUCAAAAUUAGAAAAUCAUGUACUGCCAACUUGAAAACCACAUUUAUAUAUUAUUAUAAGAAACAAUAACAACAAAAAUAAUGAUUAACUUACAACCCCAAUUCUGAAAAAGUUGAGACAGUAUGGAAAAAAGCAAAAAUCCCAAAAAAAGAGUCAUUUGAAAAUACAAUUCACCUUGUACUAUAUUUAAAACACAUUAUUAGCACAUUAUUUGAUGUUUUACUCUGUGAAUUUAAUUUAUUUUGGAAAAUAUACACUCAUUUCAAAUCUGAUGAUUGAAAAGCACUCCAAAAAAGUUGGGACAGUCAACUGUUUACCACUGUGUAACAUCACCUUUUCUUUUAACAAUUAAGUGUUUGGGACUGAAGACACCAGUUGGUUAAGUUUAGUAAGCGGAAUUUUCCCCCAUUCAUCCAUUAUGCCUUAAUUCAGCUGUGUAACUGUACAGGUUUCAUUACCUUAUUUUGCACUUCAUAAUGCGCCACACAUUGUAAAUCAGAGACAGGUCAGGACUGCAGGGAGGUCAUGCUAGCACCUGCACUCUCUUCUUACACAACCCUGUGCUUGUAAUUCGAGCAGAAUGUCGUUUGGCGUUGUCCUGCACAGGAUGGCAGCAUAUGUUGCUCCAUCCAAUGCUCCAUCUGCAUUAAUGGUGCCCUCACAGAUGUGCAAGUUACCCUUGCCAUGGGCACUGACACACCCCAUACCAUGACAGAUGCUGGCUUUUGGACCUGAUGCUGAUAACAGCUUGGAUGGUCCUUUUCCUCUUUGGACCGGAGAACAGGAUGGCUGUUUUGUCCAAAAUCUAUUUGAAAUGUUGACUCGUUGGACCACAAAACACAAUUCCACUGUGCUACUGUCCAUCUCAGAUGAUACCAAGCCCAGAGAAGUGGGCGGCACUUCUGGACAGUGUUGAUGUAUGGCUUCUGCUUUGCACAGUAAAGCCUUAACUUGCAUCUGUGGAUGCAGCACUGAAUGGUGUUGACUGACAAAGGUUUACCAAAGUAUUCCCGAGCCCAUGUCAGGAAAUCCAUUACAGACUCAUGACGGUUUUUAAGACAGUGACGUUUGAGGGAUCGGAGAUCACGCACAUUCAGAAGUGGUUUUCAGCCUUGCCCUUUAUGCACAGAGAUUUGACAGGAUUCCUUGAAUCUUUUAAUUAUAUUGUGCACUGCAGAAGGUGAAAUGCCUAAAAUCUUACCGAUUUGUCUUUGGGGAAUGUUGUUCUCAAAGUGUUGGAUUAUUUGCUGAUGCAUCUGCUGUCAGGUUGGCGAGCCUCGACCCAUCCUUCCUCUUGAAGGACUAGGCCUUUUUUGGAGGCUCCUUAUAUUCUAUGAUUAGACGAUUGCCUCACCUGUUUCACAUCACCUUCUUAUUUCAACUUUUCACAUGGCUAUUAGUCCUAAAUUGCCCAGUCCCACCUUUUUUGGAACGUGUUGCACGCAUCAAUUUCAAAAUAAACGUUUACUUUUUUAAAAAAAACUAUGCAGUUGAUUGGGUAAAACAUCAAAUACCUUGUCUCCUACGUUUUUUGUUUAAAUACAAGUCAAAGUACAUUUACAAAUCACUUCUCUUUAUUUUUAUUACCAUUUUUCAUACUGUCCCAACUUUUUCAGAAUUGGGGUUGUAACAUGAUUUGACAAAAACUCUUACCAUCAAUAAACUGAGGCACCAUCCAUUUCAGAAUUCCCAGCAUGACAAUUAUGAAUCCAAACACCAAGAUGUACCACAGUGUGGAGUCUUGCUCUAAAAAGUGAGAAAAAAGAGAAAUUCAGAAAGAUAUAAAUACUUCUAGCCUAACGUCACGUUUAAAGAUCUUACACCUUGUCUGCCAUCUAGUGGUAGAUGUAUGGUAUUUUAGGGGGUUUCCAAGAUGGGAAAUUCCAGUUUGUUUUCACAAUACAUAAUAAACACAGUUUAAUUUUCUGGUGAGUGUAACCGAGUCUGUUGUGUUCUACCUGUGACGAUGAGCGUGAAGCUCUUGCGGAUUGGUGUGCGCAGAGACUGGUGUUGCACCCGGCAUGUGUACUUGUAUCCUGAAUCUUCAAGGCCAGGCUGGAGCAAGAAAAAGGCUGAGAGCGAGUAUGUGCCAUCCUGAUGGUGGCGGUGGCUGGAGUAAAGAGUGUUCCUCAGAACCUGAGGCAGGAGGCCUGAACCCACCGGCUCACGCAGCCACUCGAUAGUCACGUCGAGAGGAUAGUAGCCCUGAGUGUCACACACCACCUUCUGCUCCUGACCCAGCGUUAAAGACAAGGUUGAGCCCACGUUCACUGUUACACGCGGUGGUUCUGUUGGGACAUAACAGACAGUAGUAAACAUGAUUAAACUCUUGAUUUAGCUAUAGGGACACGUGUAAUGGCAGAAAUGGGAGUACAAUUGCAAUAAUGAGCAAGAUUAUAAUGUUGAUUAAUGACAAAGUUUUACGUAAAAAUUUGGAUAUAAGAAUUAAGAAUCAAUAAGAAUUUGUAGUUUGUUUCCAUUUAAUAUGCCAUUAGCAAUUGUAGUUGCUCAUUAUGCUCAGCUUUCAUACAAAGCAGUUUAUAUAAUGAUUAAGUUUACAUUUGUGUAGCAGCCUACAAACCCUUCACAUGGUGACAUUUUCUACUAUGUAUAGUUCUGACUAUAGACUGUUUAUACCACACUGAAUGUUUAUAACUAUUAAAUUGGCUCCUUAUAAAACAUGCUCUUUAUAAGCAGAUAACAAGUCAAGGUUAUAAAGUAAAUAAAAUCAUUUCCAUGUCGUUUUGGUAAAAUAGAUUUUUGGUUUCUUAAAGUUGUGGUAACAAAGUACACUAUAUGGCCAAAAGUAUUUGGACCCUUGACCAUCACAGCCACAUGUGCCCAUUCCAAAAUCUUGGGCAUUAACACGGACCUGGCCCCUACUUUUUUUUGUUAUAACAGCCUCCACUCUUCUGGGAAGGCUUUCCACUGGAUUUUGGUGCAUGUCUGGGGGGGAUUUGUGUUCACUCGGCCAUAAGAGCAUUAGUGAGGUCAGGCACUGUUGUCAAGAGAGAGUUCUUGGGGCUUAGUCAAGAGUUCCAAUUUAUCCCAAAGAUGUUCAGUGGGGCUUGGGACACCCGUGUUCAACCUUGGUAAACCAAGUCUUCAAUGGACCUCGCUUUGUGCACAGGGGCAUUGUCAUGAUGAAACAGGUUUGGGCCCCUUAUUUCCAGCGAAAGGGAAAUCUUAACGUUACAGUAUACAAAGACAUUCUAGACAAUUGUAUGCUUCCAACUUUGUGGCAACAGAUUCAGGAAGGCUUACAUAAGGGUGUGAUUGUUAGGUGUCCACAUACUUUUGGCCACAUGGUGUAUGUUAAACUCUGUGUUGCAAUUUUAGCUAAAACCCAAGAUUUGCACAAAAUGAAAGCAUAUACUGGAGCAGUUGAAAGUUAAGUACCUUAUCCUACAGCACAACAGUGUCUUUCUGGAUCAUAAGCUUUUGGUACAGUACAGAACCAUAACUGCUUAUCUACAACUGCUCUACCACAUUUAUAACCACUACUUUAAGUUUCUAUUACUUUGAAAAGACAUGCUUGAUUGUCCCACCUUGAAUGUUGAGGACAAUGUCACUGUUAUGGUGGAGUGGUGGGAUGAAAACAGAGCAUGUGUAUGUGCCCUCGCUAGUUUGCUUAGUGGGUAGUAGUUUCAGAGAGGCAUCUCCUGCUGCAAUGGUUUUCACAGACACUCCGCUGCCUUCACUCUUGCCUGUGCGGCUCGAGUAGCUGAAGAGUUUAGUGCGAUCUCCACGCCGCUGGUGCACCCACUCCACCGUCACACUUGCCUGCUUGUGGUCCACAGCAAACUGACAAUGCAGGAUCGGCUCCUUCAUGAGGCCCACGUGAAUGACAGGUGUGCGUGUCAGGACAGCCAUUGUAGCUAUUGAAACAGGGAAGAAGGCCAUGCUAUCAGGAUGCAGCAGAGGUAGAUAAUACCAUGAGAAAGCUCUGCUAGCACAGAAACCCAUGUUUUAGAUUGAUAGUGUUCAUGAUUACCUGUGGUGGUCAGGAGCUCUCUGUCUCCUAUUUCAAUCCUCUCCUGAAAGCCUUCCUGCGCAGGUGUGUGUCUGAGGAAGGUGGUGAGGUGAAACAAUCCCUGACUAUUGUGGAGAAUACAGGUGAACCAGACAUCAUGUUCUUGUGCACCCAAACCAGGCCAGCGCAUCACAAUCCCUUUAGUGUUAUAUCUCUGGAUCUCACAUUCCAGCGAGUCCUUGUCACCUUCCAAAUAACGCCUCAUAUCCACCUUUGAUGCUACAUAAAACAUAUAUAUAAAUACACUUUUAGAAACGUUUUUAAUAUAUCACACAGGAUAUUCCAUCUUUGACCCAUUGAAAUGGAUCUAAAAGUUUUCUGCUAAUCAUAUACUCACUCGUGACAAGGAAGGUGAUAGCAUCGGGGUUUAUAGGACUGUCCCCUGAAUUCCCAAACUGCAGUCCUGCAUUUCGAUGGUGAAACUUGACCUCCUUAAUCCCCUCAUCAUUUAUUUGUACCGUCUCAUCUUGAAAUUGGCACGGCAGCCACUGGACAUCGUAAGCCGAUUGCGUUCCACAUACACCUG